GUGUUCGUUGAAAGGAGAAAUGGUUGCAAUCUCCCCUGACAGGGACAGGAACAGCCUUCGGGCUUUACCUCUUACCAGACACAUCCGGUUAAGGCUACUCACUUAGGUGGAUCUUACCCCGUUAA
Small nuclear RNA from Lycium ferocissimum, 125 nucleotides. NCBI's taxonomy places the organism in Eukaryota, Viridiplantae, Streptophyta, Magnoliopsida, Solanales, Solanaceae. The record is from RefSeq and is a predicted model, not a curated record.